Molecule: long non-coding RNA, 434 nt
Organism: Brachypodium distachyon (stiff brome)
Lineage: Eukaryota; Viridiplantae; Streptophyta; Magnoliopsida; Poales; Poaceae
Exons: 2
Source: RefSeq, a predicted model, not a curated record
GCGGCGGCGGCGGCGGCGCGUCGAAGUCGGCGCCGUCCAUGCUCACGAACCGCAUCGCCGGCAUCCCCAGCUUCUCGUGCAGGUAUGUGAACCAUGUUGGAAAAUAAAUAAAUUAAAUGCAGUGUUUCGAAAUGAGACAUGUCAGUAUCUAUAUCCUGGAAAUAGCAUCAGAAAGCCACAGGGGUGCUGAAUUUGACAUGCUGCCUGCAAACAUGAGUAUGGAAUAACAUGUUCUUUUCUAACUUUGUUCAGUAAUAUAAUAUGCUUUGUUUUGUGUUACCAUUGAGGAUCAACAUUCUUGGAACUAGCACAUGUGAUUUUAUCUGUAUAUACAACAACCGUCAGUUACAUGAAAGAUUCAUGCAAUGAAAUCUUCUUGUUGUACCUCUAGACCUGAAGUAGAUAAAUCACUACAAACACUAUCACCAAUCCUC